RNAcentral lists this ribosomal RNA (884 nucleotides) under Bacillus safensis. RNAcentral describes it as "bacterial SSU rRNA". It matches the Rfam family "Bacterial small subunit ribosomal RNA", at positions 56 to 924 of the family's 1533-position model. The record is from RNAcentral. Lineage: Bacteria; Bacillati; Bacillota; Bacilli; Caryophanales; Bacillaceae.
UGCAAGUCGAGCGGACAGAAGGGAGCUUGCUCCCGGAUGUUAGCGGCGGACGGGUGAGUAACACGUGGGUAACCUGCCUGUAAGACUGGGAUAACUCCGGGAAACCGGAGCUAAUACCGGAUAGUUCCUUGAACCGCAUGGUUCAAGGAUGAAAGACGGUUUCGGCUGUCACUUACAGAUGGACCCGCGGCGCAUUAGCUAGUUGGUGGGGUAAUGGCUCACCAAGGCGACGAUGCGUAGCCGACCUGAGAGGGUGAUCGGCCACACUGGGACUGAGACACGGCCCAGACUCCUACGGGAGGCAGCAGUAGGGAAUCUUCCGCAAUGGACGAAAGUCUGACGGAGCAACGCCGCGUGAGUGAUGAAGGUUUUCGGAUCGUAAAGCUCUGUUGUUAGGGAAGAACAAGUGCGAGAGUAACUGCUCGCACCUUGACGGUACCUAACCAGAAAGCCACGGCUAACUACGUGCCAGCAGCCGCGGUAAUACGUAGGUGGCAAGCGUUGUCCGGAAUUAUUGGGCGUAAAGGGCUCGCAGGCGGUUUCUUAAGUCUGAUGUGAAAGCCCCCGGCUCAACCGGGGAGGGUCAUUGGAAACUGGGAAACUUGAGUGCAGAAGAGGAGAGUGGAAUUCCACGUGUAGCGGUGAAAUGCGUAGAGAUGUGGAGGAACACCAGUGGCGAAGCGACUCUCUGGUCUGUAACUGACGCUGAGGAGCGAAAGCGUGGGGAGCGAACAGGAUUAGAUACCCUGGUAGUCCACGCCGUAAACGAUGAGUGCUAAGUGUUAGGGGGUUUCCGCCCCUUAGUGCUGCAGCUAACGCAUUAAGCACUCCGCCUGGGGAGUACGGUCGCAAGACUGAAACUCAAAGGAAUUGACGGGGCCCGC